GACGAACGCUGGCGGCGUGCUUAACACAUGCAAGUCGAGCGAUAAGGCCUUUCGGGGUACACGAGCGGCGAACGGGUGAGUAACACGUGGGUGAUCUGCCCUGCACUUCGGGAUAAGCAUGGGAAACUGGGUCUAAUACCGGAUAUGACCUCCUAUCGCAUGGUGGGUGGUGGAAAGAUUUAUCGGUGCAGGAUGGGCCCGCGGCCUAUCAGCUUGUUGGUGGGGUAAUGGCCUACCAAGGCGACGACGGGUAGCCGACCUGAGAGGGUGACCGGCCACACUGGGACUGAGACACGGCCCAGACUCCUACGGGAGGCAGCAGUGGGGAAUAUUGCACAAUGGGCGAAAGCCUGAUGCAGCGACGCCGCGUGAGGGAUGACGGCCUUCGGGUUGUAAACCUCUUUCAGCAGGGACGAAGCGCAAGUGACGGUACCUGCAGAAGAAGCACCGGCUAACUACGUG
This 462-nucleotide ribosomal RNA is filed under the name uncultured bacterium. RNAcentral describes it as "partial 16S ribosomal RNA". It matches the Rfam family "Bacterial small subunit ribosomal RNA", at positions 28 to 507 of the family's 1533-position model. The record is from RNAcentral.